GAUGAACGCUGGCGGCGUGCCUAACACAUGCAAGUCGAACGAAGACAUACCGACGGAAUCCUUCGGGAGGAAGAUGGUAUGGACUGAGUGGCGGACGGGUGAGUAACGCGUGGGUAACCUGCCCUGUACAGGGGGACAACAGUUAGAAAUGACUGCUAAUACCGCAUAAGCGCACAGUACCGCAUGGUACAGUGCGAAAAACUCCGGUGGUACAGGAUGGGCCCGCGUCUGAUUAGUUAGUUGGCGGGGUAACGGCCCACCAAGACGACGAUCAGUAGCCGGCUUGAGAGAGUGAACGGCCACAUUGGGACUGAGACACGGCCCAAACUCCUACGGGAGGCAGCAGUGGGGAAUAUUGCACAAUGGGGGGAACCCUGAUGCAGCAACGCCGCGUGAGUGAAGAAGUAUUUCGGUAUGUAAAGCUCUAUCAGCAGGGAAGAAAAUGACGGUACCUGACUAAGAAGCCCCGGCUAACUACGUGCCAGCAGCCGCGGUAAUACGUAGGGGGCAAGCGUUAUCCGGAUUUACUGGGUGUAAAGGGAGCGCAGGCGGUGCGGCAAGUCAGAUGUGAAAACCCGGGGCUCAACCCCGGGACUGCAUUUGAAACUGUCGGACUAGAGUGCCGGAGAGGUAAGUGGAAUUCCUAGUGUAGCGGUGAAAUGCGUAGAUAUUAGGAGGAACACCAGUGGCGAAGGCGGCUUACUGGACGGUAACUGACGCUGAGGCUCGAAAGCAUGGGGAGCAAACAAGAGGUAGAUACCCUGGUAGUCCACGCCGU
RNAcentral lists this ribosomal RNA (778 nucleotides) under uncultured bacterium. Its description in RNAcentral is "bacterial SSU rRNA". It matches the Rfam family "Bacterial small subunit ribosomal RNA", at positions 28 to 803 of the family's 1533-position model. The record is from RNAcentral.